This 24-nucleotide non-coding RNA is filed under the name Arabidopsis thaliana (thale cress). The record is from RNAcentral. Lineage: Eukaryota; Viridiplantae; Streptophyta; Magnoliopsida; Brassicales; Brassicaceae.
CUGGAGAAGCGUCCUCAGCGACGG